CGAAACCGCGAAUGGCUCAUUAUAUCAGUUAUGGUUCACAAGAUCGUACUUUACUACUUGGAUAACUGUGGUAAUUCUAGAGCUAAUACAUGCAGCAGAGCUCCGACCUUCGUUCGCGAAGGGACGAGCGCUUUUAUUAGACCAAAAUCAAACGGUGUUGAGCCUCGCAAGGGGUUCUCCCGUUAACAAGUGGUGACUCUGUAUAACUUUUGUCUGAUCGCACGGGCUUGUCCCGGCGACGUAUCUUUCAAGUGUCUGCCUUAUCAACUGUCGAUGGUAGGUUAUGCGCCUACCAUGGUCGUAACGGGUGACGGGGGAUCAGGGUUCGAUCCCGGAGAGGGAGCCUGAGAAACGGCUACCACAUCCAAGGAAGGCAGCAGGCGCGCAAAUUACCCACUCCCGGCACGGGGAGGUAGUGACGAAAAAUAACAAUACAAGACUCUUUUGAGACCUUGUAAUUGGAAUGAGUACACUCUAAAUACUUUAACGAGGAUCCAUUGGAAGGCAAGUCCGGUGCCAGCAGCUGCGGUAACUCCAGCUCCAAUAGCGUAUAUUAAAGUUGUUGCGGUUAAAAAGCUCGUAGUUGGAUCUCAGUUACGGACGGGUGGACUAUUCCAAUAAACCUUGGAGUAGUUUUUUCUGCCCGCUUUCCGGACAUUUUCCGCCGGUUUCUCUUGAUGAUCUUCACCGGUUGUCUUGGGUGACCGGCAUGUUUACUUUGAAAAAAUUAGAGUGCUCAAAGCAUGCGUGAUGCAUGAAUAAUGGUGCAUGGAAUAAUGGAAUAGGACCUCGGUUCUGUUUUGUUGGUUUUUUCGGAACUUCGAGGUAAUGAUUAAGAGGGACAGACGGGGGCAUUCGUAUUGCGACGCUAGAGGUGAAAUUCUUGGACCGUCGCAAGACGAACUACUNNNNNNNNNNNNNNNNNNNNUGUUUCCAUUAAUCAAGAACGAAAGUUAGAGGUUCGAAGGCGAUCAGAUACCGCCCUAGUUCUAACCAUAAACGAUGCCAGCCAGCGAUCCGUCUGUGUUCCUCAAAUGACACGACGGGCAGCUUCCGGGAAACCAAAGCUUUUGGGUUCCGGGGGAAGNNNNNNNNNNNNNNNNNNNNUUAAAGGAAUUGGCGGAAGGGCACCACCAGGAAUGGGGCCUGCGGCUUAAUUUGACUCAACACGGGAAAACUUACCCGGCCCGGACACAGGAAGGAUUGACAGAUUAAGAGCUCUUUCUUGAUUCUGUGGGUGGUGGUGCAUGGCCGUUCUUAGUUGGUGGAGCGAUUUGUCUGGUUAAUUCCGAUAACGAACGAGACUCUAGCCUACUAAAUAGGCGUUCCGAUUCUUCUAAAAGUCGGACGUUUCUCUUCUUAGAGGGACAAGCGGCGUUUAGCCGCACGAGACAGANNNNNNNNNNNNNNNNNNNNNNNNNNNNNNNCCGGGGCCGCACGCGCGCCACAUUGAAGGAAUCAGCGUGUGCUUUCCCGGUCCGACAGGAUUGGGUAACCCGUUGAACCUCCUUCGUGCUGGGGAUAGAACCUUGUAAUUAGUUCUUGAACGAGGAAUUCCCAGUAAGCACGAGUCAUCAGCUCGUGUUGAUUACGUCCCUGCCCUUUGCACACACCGCCCGUCGCUACUACCGAUUGAAUGAUUAAGUGAGGUCUUCGGACUGGCGCUCGGAUUGGCCUUCGGGUCGAGCCGAAGUGCCGGAAAGAUGACCAAACUUGAUCACUUAGAGAUAGUAAAAG
This 1737-nucleotide ribosomal RNA is filed under the name Mysmena tasmaniae. Its description in RNAcentral is "partial 18S ribosomal RNA". It matches the Rfam family "Eukaryotic small subunit ribosomal RNA". Lineage: Eukaryota; Metazoa; Arthropoda; Arachnida; Araneae; Mysmenidae. The record is from RNAcentral.